Molecule: unclassified non-coding RNA, 358 nt
Filed under: fungal sp.
Lineage: Eukaryota; Fungi
Description: partial internal transcribed spacer region
Rfam family: Eukaryotic small subunit ribosomal RNA (bases 1-46)
Source: RNAcentral
AAGUCGUAACAAGGUUUCCGUAGGUGAACCUGCGGAAGGAUCAUUAUCACAAAAUGAUUUUAGCUUUGUCCCAAAUUAAUCCUUGGGUCAAGCUAACCUCUUCUCUUAAACCAAUUUAAUUCAAAUGUGAAACUGUUCAGUUGUUUUUUUUUAUGAUGAUCGGCUCUAAGCCUUUCAAAACAAAAAACACAACAUUUUUAACCAAUUGAACCCUAAUAAUUUUUUAGUUAUUUUAUUUAAUUUAGUUCUGAAAUAUUAUUAUAGAAACCUCACUCUUUUGUGUGGUUUUCUUAUAAUAAAUUACAUUACGAAACAAUUAUCAAUAAAACAACUCUUAGCAACGGAUAUCUUGGUUCUC